Molecule: long non-coding RNA, 318 nt
Organism: Mytilus californianus (California mussel)
Lineage: Eukaryota; Metazoa; Mollusca; Bivalvia; Mytilida; Mytilidae
Exons: 3
Source: RefSeq, a predicted model, not a curated record
GUUUGCAGAAUGGAAAACACCUUGCAGCGGAAAUUAUUUUCACUUCUACGUGAAAAUCUAGCCAGAAAACUGACCUGUCAAAUAUAAGAAACAGAGUGCUAUUCCAGCUUUGAUGAACUAUAAAGUAAUGGUUUGAAUUUGAAAAGCUUUAUUUAUAUUAGACAGGGAUGAUGACCUGCAGUGAGACAGCAGUAGAAAGUUACAUAUAACUCAUCAUGACCAUUAUGGAAGAUCAGAUCAGAUGAAAAUUAUGUUUAGAAAGCCACCAAAUAUGUCUAUGAAAAGUAGAAAAAAGGCAGCAAUUCUAUGUAAAGUACU